This 806-nucleotide unclassified non-coding RNA is filed under the name Leishmania donovani. RNAcentral's name for it is "gene:LdHU3.26.2040(CDS-product:40S_ribosomal_prot ein_S33_putative)". The record is from RNAcentral. Lineage: Eukaryota; Euglenozoa; Kinetoplastea; Trypanosomatida; Trypanosomatidae.
CAACCCGAUCCAACCCCACCCGCCCUCCCCUCUCAUCUUGCAGUCCAUAUACUCGCGCAAUGGCUGAUUCGAAGAAGGACAACAAGAAGACCGAGGAGGUCGUCACCCAGGGUACGGACCAGGCCCAGGUUGGCCUGAUCAUCAAGGUUCUGGGCCGCACCGGCUCUCGCGGCAACGUGACCCAGGUGCGCGUGCGCCUGAUGGCCGAGGCCGGCUCCCCGGACUACAACCGCACGAUCGUGCGCAACGUGAAGGGCCCAUGCAAGGAGAACGACAUGCUCUCUCUCAUGGAAACCGAGCGUGAGGCCCGCCGUCUCCGUUAAGAAGCCGAAUAGGACUUCUUUGUGCACUGCCAGAGCACACGCGCGCACCAUCGCACCCCGUAUUCGUGUGUGUGCGUGUGUGUGUGUGUGUGUGUGUGUGUGUGUGUGUGAGUGCGUGCGUGUACGUCCUUGUGUUGAUGGGAUAUGCCAUUCCUGUGCGAUGUCUUCUUUCUAUUCACUGUUUGUUCUCAUUUACUUCGCAAGUAAAAAGUUAAAGCGAUGCAAAAGAAGGGGGCAGCAUAGACGCGUGGCUUCUAUUCACCGCAACCUCCCUCCUGCCUCUCCCCUUCCUUCUACGCGACGUGCUAUGCAGGAUGAGGUAAACGUGGUGUGUCUGCGCCUGUCUGCCGGUGAGCUCAGCCACGGACGGCGGCACUACACGCACCUGCGCAAAUACGCUCUUGAUAGUAGUGCCAAUACGACCACCAGAAAGGCACGCGGUGGAGGGCAACAGGGUGCCAACAUAGAACUCCGCUUCAGUCG